CCUACGGGUGGCAGCAGUGGGGGAUAUUGCACCAUGGAGGGAACUCUGAUGCAGCAACGCCGCGUGAGGGAAGAAGGUUUUCGGAUUGUAAACUUCUUUUAAGAGGGAAGAGCAGAAGACGGUACCUCUUGAAUAAGACACGGCUAACUACGUGCCAGCAACCGCGGUAAUACGUAGGUGGCAAGCGUUGUCCGGCUUUACUGGGUGUACAGGGCGUUCAACAGGGAAGACAAGGCAGAUGUGAAAUCCCGCGGCGUAACCGCGGAACUGCAUUUGACACUGUUUGUCUUGAGUACCGGAGAGGUCAUCGGAACUCCUUGUGUAGCGGUGAAAUGCGUAGAUAUAAGGAAGAACACCAGUGGCGAAGGCGGAUGACUGGACGGCAACUGACGGUGAGGCGCGAAAGCGUGGGGAGCAAACAGGAUUAGAUACCCUUGUAGUC
This 442-nucleotide ribosomal RNA is filed under the name uncultured bacterium. RNAcentral's name for it is "partial 16S ribosomal RNA". It matches the Rfam family "Bacterial small subunit ribosomal RNA", at positions 338 to 795 of the family's 1533-position model. The record is from RNAcentral.